GACGAACGCUGGCGGCGCGCGUUAAUACAUGCAAGUCGAGCGAGAAGCUCGGUGCUUGCACCCGGGUGGACAGUGGCGAACGGGUGAGUAACACGUGAGUAACCUGCCCCGGAGACCGGAAUAACCCGAGGAAACUCGGACUAAUACCGGAUGCCUUCACCGGACCGCAUGAUCUGGUGAAGAAAUGGUCCGCCGCUCCGGGAUGGACUCGCGGCCUAUCAGCUUGUUGGUGAGGUAACGGCUCACCAAGGCGACGACGGGUAGCUGGUCUGAGAGGACGAUCAGCCACACUGGGACUGAGACACGGCCCAGACUCCUACGGGAGGCAGCAGUAGGGAAUCUUGCGCAAUCGGGGGGAAAACCCUGACGCAGCGACGCCGCGUGCGGGAUGAAGGCCCUAGGGUUGUAAACCGCUUUCAGCAGGGACGAAAUUGACGGUACCUGCAGAAGAAGGCCCGGCCAACUACGUG
Molecule: ribosomal RNA, 470 nt
Filed under: uncultured bacterium
Lineage: Bacteria
Description: bacterial SSU rRNA
Rfam family: Bacterial small subunit ribosomal RNA
Source: RNAcentral